AACGAACGCUGGCGGCAGGCCUAACACAUGCAAGUCGAGCGCCCUUUCGGGGGAGCGGCGGACGGGUGAGUAACGCGUGGGAAUAUGCCCUUCUCUACGGAAUAGCCUCGGGAAACUGAGAGUAAUACCGUAUACGCCCUGUGGGGGAAAGAUUUAUCGGGGAAGGAUUAGCCCGCGUUGGAUUAGGUAGUUGGUGGGGUAAUGGCCUACCAAGCCGACGAUCCAUAGCUGGUUUGAGAGGAUGAUCAGCCACACUGGGACUGAGACACGGCCCAGACUCCUACGGGAGGCAGCAGUGGGGAAUCUUAGACAAUGGGGGCAACCCUGAUCUAGCCAUGCCGCGUGAGUGAUGAAGGCCUUAGGGUUGUAAAGCUCUUUCAGCUGGGAAGAUAAUGACGGUACCAGCAGAAGAAGCCCCGACUAACUCCGUG
RNAcentral lists this ribosomal RNA (431 nucleotides) under uncultured bacterium. RNAcentral describes it as "partial 16S ribosomal RNA". It matches the Rfam family "Bacterial small subunit ribosomal RNA", at positions 29 to 507 of the family's 1533-position model. The record is from RNAcentral.